UGGGGAAUUUUGGACAAUGGGCGAAAGCCUGAUCCAGCAAUGCCGCGUGUGUGAAGAAGGCCUUCGGGUUGUAAAGCACUUUUGUCCGGAAAGAAAUCCUUGGCUCUAAUACAGUCGGGGGAUGACGGUACCGGAAGAAUAAGCACCGGCUAACUACGUGCCAGCAGCCGCGGUAAUACGUAGGGUGCAAGCGUUAAUCGGAAUUACUGGGCGUAAAGCGUGCGCAGGCGGUUUGCUAAGACCGAUGUGAAAUCCCCGGGCUCAACCUGGGAACUGCAUUGGUGACUGGCAGGCUAGAGUAUGGCAGAGGGGGGUAGAAUUCCACGUGUAGCAGUGAAAUGCGUAGAGAUGUGGAGGAAUACCGAUGGCGAAAGGCAGCCCCCUGGGCCAAAUACUGACGCUCAUGCACGAAAAGCGUGGGGAGCAAAACAGGAUUAGAUACCCUGGUAGUCCACGCCCUAAAACGAUGUCAACUAGUUGUUGGGGAUUCAUUUCCUUAGUAACGUAGCUAACGCGUGAAGUUGACCGCCUGGGGAGUACGGUCGCAAAGAUUAAAAACUCAAAAUGAAUUGACGGGGUCAUAGCUGUUUCCU
RNAcentral lists this ribosomal RNA (593 nucleotides) under uncultured bacterium. Its description in RNAcentral is "partial 16S ribosomal RNA". It matches the Rfam family "Bacterial small subunit ribosomal RNA", at positions 355 to 1375 of the family's 1533-position model. The record is from RNAcentral.